AGCAGCCGCGGUAAUUCCAGCUCCAAUAGCGUAUAUUAAAGUUGUUGCAGUUAAAAAGCUCGUAGUUGAAUUUCGGGAUCAAUAUGUCUGUCGUGCCUUCGGUACGUACGGGUAUAAUUGGUUUCUACCUUCUGAUGAACCUUGAUGCCAUUAAUUUGGUGUCUUGGGGACUCAGGACUGUUACCUUGAAAAAAUUAGAGUGUUUAAAGCAGGCAUGCGCUUGAAUACAUUAGCAUGGAAUAAUGAAAUAGGACGUUCGAUUCUAUUUUGUUGGUUUCUAGGACCGACGUAAUGAUUAAUAGGGAUAGUUGGGGGCAUUAGUAUUCAAUUGUCAGAGGUGAAAUUCUUGGAUUUAUUGAAGACUAACUACUGCGAAAGCAUUUGCCAAGGAUGUUUUCAUUAAUCAAGAACGAAAGUUAGGGGAUCGAAGACGAUCAGAUACCGUCGUAGUCUUAACCAUAAACUAUGCCGACUAGGGAUCGGAUGAUGUUAAUUUUUUAAUGACUCA
This 508-nucleotide ribosomal RNA is filed under the name uncultured Glomus. RNAcentral's name for it is "SSU rRNA". It matches the Rfam family "Eukaryotic small subunit ribosomal RNA", at positions 569 to 1078 of the family's 1831-position model. Lineage: Eukaryota; Fungi; Glomeromycota; Glomeromycetes; Glomerales; Glomeraceae. The record is from RNAcentral.